ACCAAGGGUUCCUGUCCAACGUUAAUCGGGGCAGGGUGAGUCGACCCCUAAGGCGAGGCCGAAAGGCGUAGUCGAUGGGAAACGGGUUAAUAUUCCCGUACUUGGUGUUACUGCGAAGGGGGGACGGAGAAGGCUAUGUUGGCCGGGCGACGGUUGUCCCGGUUUAAGCGUGUAGGUGUGUGUUCCAGGUAAAUCCGGUUCACUUUAACACUGAGGCGUGAUGACGAGGCACUACGGUGCUGAAGUAACAAAUGCCCUGCUUCCAGGAAAAGCCUCUAAGCAUCAGGUAACAUCAAAUCGUACCCCAAACCGACACAGGUGGUCAGGUAGAGAAUACCAAGGCGCUUGAGAGAACUCGGGUGAAGGAACUAGGCAAAAUGGUGCCGUAACUUCGGGAGAAGGCACGCUGACACGUAGGUGAA
This 422-nucleotide ribosomal RNA is filed under the name Salmonella enterica subsp. enterica serovar Montevideo str. CFSAN004346. RNAcentral describes it as "bacterial LSU rRNA". It matches the Rfam family "Bacterial large subunit ribosomal RNA", at positions 1344 to 1766 of the family's 2925-position model. Lineage: Bacteria; Pseudomonadati; Pseudomonadota; Gammaproteobacteria; Enterobacterales; Enterobacteriaceae. The record is from RNAcentral.